AGAGUUUGAUCAUGGCUCAGGACGAACGCUGGCGGCGUGCUUAACACAUGCAAGUGGAGCGACGAACCAGGGCUUGCCCUGGGGCAAAGCCGCGAACGGGUGAGUAACACGUGGGUAACCUGCCUCGAUGAUCGGGACAACCCGGGGAAACCCGGGCUAAUACCGAAUGUGCCCAAUCCACAUCAGUGGACUGUGUAAAGGAAGCUUCGGCCUCCGCUUCGAGAUGGGCCCGCGGCCCAUUAGCUUGUUGGUGGGGUAAAGGCCUACCAAGGCUCCGAUGGGUAGCUGGUCUGAGAGGACGAUCAGCCACACUGGGACUGAGACACGGCCCAGACUCCUACGGGAGGCAGCAGUGGGGAAUCCUGCGCAACGCGCGAAAGCGUGACGCAGCAACGCCGCGUGGGGGAAGACGGCCUUAGGGUUGUAAACCCCUUUCAGGAGGGACGAAGGUCGGCGCGUUAAUAGCGUGUCCGACUGACGGUGCCUCCACAAGAAGCCCCGGCUAACUACGUGCCAGCAGCGGCGGUAAUUC
Molecule: ribosomal RNA, 532 nt
Filed under: uncultured bacterium
Lineage: Bacteria
Description: bacterial SSU rRNA
Rfam family: Bacterial small subunit ribosomal RNA
Source: RNAcentral